CCUACGGGAGGCAGCAGUCGAGAAUCAUUCACAAUGGGGGAAACCCUGAUGGUGCGACGCCGCGUGGGGGAAUGAAGGUCUUCGGAUUGUAAACCCCUGUCAUGUGGGAGCAAAUUAAAAAGAUAGUACCACAAGAGGAAGAGACGGCUAACUCUGUGCCAGCAGCCGCGGUAAUACAGAGGUCUCAAGCGUUGUUCGGAAUCACUGGGCGUAAAGAGUGCGUAGGCUGUUUCGUAAGUCGUGUGUGAAAGGCGCGGGCUCAACCCGCGGACGGCACAUGAUACUGCGAGACUAGAGUAAUGGAGGGGGAACCGGAAUUCUCGGUGUAGCAGUGAAAUGCGUAGAUAUCGAGAGGAACACUCGUGGCGAAGGCGGGUUCCUGGACAUUAACUGACGCUGAGGCACGAAGGCCAGGGGAGCGAAAGGGAUUAGAUACCCUGGUAGUC
Molecule: ribosomal RNA, 446 nt
Filed under: uncultured bacterium
Lineage: Bacteria
Description: partial 16S ribosomal RNA
Rfam family: Bacterial small subunit ribosomal RNA
Source: RNAcentral